Molecule: long non-coding RNA, 1067 nt
Filed under: Manacus vitellinus (golden-collared manakin)
Lineage: Eukaryota; Metazoa; Chordata; Aves; Passeriformes; Pipridae
Description: lncRNA (ENSMVIG00005004258.1)
Source: RNAcentral
UCCCGGGAUCCCCCCCAGGUUCCCAGGGAAGGGCCGUGCCGGGGGUGGAAACGGGAACCUUUAUUGGGGGUUUGGGGUCCGGGGGGACCCGAGAAGGAAACACCGGAAAUGGGGAAAGGAGGGAAAAGAAACCGGGAGGGGACAAAAAACGGGAACGGCCCCAAAGGGGGGGGGGAGGGGAAUGUCCUGUGUCUGUCCUGUGUCCGUGUGUCUGUCCUGUGUCCAUCCUGUGUCUGUCCUGUGUCCAUCCUGUGUCCGAGUGUCUGUCCUGUGUCUGUGUGUCCAUCCUGUGUCUGUCCUGUGUCCGUGUGUCCAUCCCGUGUCUGUUCUUUGUCUGUGUGUCCCUCCUGUGUCUGUGUGUCCAUUCCAUGUCCAUCCCAUGUCCGUGUGUCCAUCCCAUGUCCGUGUGUCCAUCCCGUGUCCGUGUGUCCAUCCCGUGUCCAUCCCGUGUCCAUCCCAUGUCCAUCCCAUGUCCGUGUGUCCAUCCCAUGUCCGUGUGUCCGUCCCGUGUCCGUGUGUCCAUCCCAUGUCCGUGUGUCCGUCCCGUGUCCGUGUGUCCAUCCCAUGUCCGUGUGUCCGUCCCAUGUCCGUGUGUCCGUCCCGUGUCCGUGUGUCCAUCCCAUGUCCGUCCCGUGUCCGUGUGUCCAUCCCAUGUCUGUCCCAUGUCCGUGUGUCCAUCCCAUGUCCGUCCCAUGUCCGUCCCAUGUCCAUCCCAUGUCUCCCGUGUCCGUGUGUCCAUCCCGUGUCCAUCCCAUGUCCGUGUGUCCAUCCCGUGUCCAUCCCAUGUCCAUCCCAUGUCCAUCCCGUGUCCGUGUGUCCAUCCCGUGUCCGUGUGUCCAUCCCGUGUCCAUCCCAUGUCCAUCCCAUGUCCAUGUGUCCAUUCCAUGUCCGUGUGUCCAUCCCGUGUCCAUCCCGUGUCCGUCCCGUGUCCGUGUGUCCGUCUCACAGCACGAUCCACGUGUAGCGCUCGUUGUCCGCCAGGACCUUCAGGGAGCAGCCUGGGGGGGGGAUGAAGCAGUUUUUGGGGGGAAAGACCCCCAAAAUCAACCCCCCAGACCCCCCGCAGG